GUCGAGAAUCUUUCACAAUGGGGGCAACCCUGAUGGAGCGACGCCGCGUGGAGGAUAAGGUCUUCGGAUUGUAAACUCCUGUCAUGCGUGAACAAGGUUGCUUGGUUAAUACCUGGGCAAAUUGAUGGUAACGCAAGAGGAAGAGACGGCUAACUCUGUGCCAGCAGCCGCGGUAAGACAGAGGUCUCAAGCGUUGUUCGGAAUCACUGGGCGUAAAGGGUGCGUAGGUGGCGUGGUAAGUCAGAUGUGAAAGCCCGGGGCUCAACCUCGGAACUGCAUCCGAUACUGCCAUGCUGGAGUACUGGAGAGGUGACUAGAAUUCUCGGUGUAGCAGUGAAAUGCGUAGAUAUCGAGAGGAAUACCAAAGGCGUAGGCAGGUCACUGGACAGUUACUGACACUGAGGCACGAAGGCCAGGGGAGCGAACGGGAUUAGAUACCCCGGUAGUCC
This 449-nucleotide ribosomal RNA is filed under the name uncultured bacterium. Its description in RNAcentral is "partial 16S ribosomal RNA". It matches the Rfam family "Bacterial small subunit ribosomal RNA", at positions 354 to 796 of the family's 1533-position model. The record is from RNAcentral.